This 313-nucleotide ribosomal RNA is filed under the name uncultured Arcobacter sp. RNAcentral's name for it is "bacterial SSU rRNA". It matches the Rfam family "Bacterial small subunit ribosomal RNA", at positions 29 to 334 of the family's 1533-position model. The record is from RNAcentral. Lineage: Bacteria; Pseudomonadati; Campylobacterota; Epsilonproteobacteria; Campylobacterales; Arcobacteraceae.
AGUGAACGCUGGCGGCGUGCCUAACACAUGCAAGUCGAACGAGAACGGGUUUAAGUUUACUUAAACUGUCAGCUAAGUGGCGCACGGGUGAGUAAUAUAUAGUUAACCUGCCCCAAAGAAGAGAAUAAUUGUUGGAAACGACUUGUAAUGCUCUAUAUGCCUCUAUUACAUAAGUAAGCGAGGGAAACAUUUAUGGCUUUGGGAUGGGACUGUACGGUAUCAGAUAGUUGGUGAGGUAAUGGCUCACCAAGUCUAUGACGCCUAACUGGUUUGAGAGGAUGAUCAGUCACACUGGAACUAAGACACGGUCCAG